RNAcentral lists this ribosomal RNA (459 nucleotides) under uncultured bacterium. RNAcentral describes it as "partial 16S ribosomal RNA". It matches the Rfam family "Bacterial small subunit ribosomal RNA", at positions 338 to 795 of the family's 1533-position model. The record is from RNAcentral.
CCUACGGGUGGCAGCAGUGAGGAAUAUUGGUCAAUGGACGAGAGUCUGAACCAGCCAAGUAGCGUGAAGGAUGACUGCCCUAUGGGUUGUAAACUUCUGUUAUAAAGGAAUAAAACGAGGCACGUGUGCCUUUUUGCAUUUACUUUCUGAAUAAGGAUCGGCUAACUCCGUGCCAGCAGCCGCGGUAAUACGGAGGAUGCGAGCGUUAUCCGGAUGUAUUGGGUUUAAAGGGUGCGUAGGCGGGCUUUUAAGUCAGCGGUAAAAAUUCGGGGCUCAACACCGUCCGGCCGUUGAAACUGGGGGACUUGAGUGGGCGAGAAGAAGGCGGAAUGCGUUGUGUAGCGGUGAAAUGUAUAGAUAUCACGCAGAACCCCGAUUGCGAAGGCAGCCUUCCGGCGCCCUACUGACGCUGAGGCACGAAAGUGCGGGGAUCGAACAGGAUUAGAUACCCUGGUAGUC